This 435-nucleotide ribosomal RNA is filed under the name uncultured bacterium. RNAcentral describes it as "bacterial SSU rRNA". It matches the Rfam family "Bacterial small subunit ribosomal RNA", at positions 356 to 773 of the family's 1533-position model. The record is from RNAcentral.
GGGGAAUCUUGCGCAAUGGCCGCAAGGCUGACGCAGCGACGCCGCGUGGGGGAGGAAGGGCUUCGGCUCGUAAACCCCUGUCGCCCGGGGCGAACCGUGGGUUUCGACCCAUCUGACGGUACCGGGUGAGGAAGCACCGGCUAACUCCGUGCCAGCAGCCGCGGGAAUACGGAGGGUGCGAGCGUUGUCCGGAAUCACUGGGCGUAAAGGGCGCGUAGGCGGCAUGCCAAGCGUGUGGUGAAAGCCCGGGGCUCAACCCCGGGUCGGCCGUGCGGACUGGCAUGCUCGAGCACUGUAGGGGCGGGUGGAAUUCCGGGUGUAGCGGUGGAAUGCGUAGAGAUCCGGAAGAACACCGGUGGCGAAGGCGGCCCGCUGGGCAGGAAGGCCUCGUCAGAGGCCGGCUGACGCUGAGGCGCGACAGCGUGGGGAGCAAAC